UACGGAGGGUGCGAGCGUUGUCCGGAAUCACUGGGCGUAAAGGGCGCGUAGGCGGCGCGGGCAGUCAACGGUGAAAGCUCGGGGCUCAACCCCGAGUCGGCCGUCGAUACUCCCGUGCUCGAGCACUGUAGAGGCAGGUGGAAUUCCGGGUGUAGCGGUGGAAUGCGUAGAGAUCCGGAAGAACACCGGUGGCGAAGGCGGGUCUCUGGGCAACAACUGACGCUGAGGAGCGAAAGCGUGGGGAGCGAACAGG
This 253-nucleotide ribosomal RNA is filed under the name uncultured bacterium. RNAcentral describes it as "partial 16S ribosomal RNA". It matches the Rfam family "Bacterial small subunit ribosomal RNA", at positions 524 to 776 of the family's 1533-position model. The record is from RNAcentral.